Molecule: ribosomal RNA, 162 nt
Filed under: Ixodes woodi
Lineage: Eukaryota; Metazoa; Arthropoda; Arachnida; Ixodida; Ixodidae
Description: partial 16S ribosomal RNA
Source: RNAcentral
CCCUGAUGCACAAGGUACUUUAUUUAAAUACUUUUUAAAUUUUAUUUUUCAAAAUUUUCAGCUUUCCCUCACAGUUUAAAUAAUUAAAAAAUUUAUAAUCAAUACACUUAUCAUAAUCCUUUUUUUAAAAACAAUGAACAAUAAUAUAUUUUAAAAUACAUU